AUUGAACGCUGGCGGCAGGCUUAACACAUGCAAGUCGAGCGGGGUGAUGGUGCUUGCACUAUCACUUAGCGGCGGACGGGUGAGUAAUGCUUAGGAAUCUGCCUAUUAGUGGGGGACAACAUCUCGAAAGGGAUGCUAAUACCGCAUACGUCCUACGGGAGAAAGCAGGGGAUCACUUGUGACCUGGAGCUAAUAGAUGAGACUAAUGCGGAUUAGCGAGUUGGUGGGGUAAAGGCCUACCAAGGCGACGAUCUGUAGCGGGUCUGAGAGGAUGAUACGCCACACUGGGACUGAGACACGGCCCAGACUCCUACGGGAGGCAGCAGUGGGGAAUAUUGGACAAUGGGGGGAACCCUGAUCCAGCCAUGCCGCGUGUGUGAAGAAGGCCUUAUGGUUGUAAAGCACUUUAAGCGAGGAGGAGGCUCUUUUGGUUAAUACCCAAGAUGAGUGGACGUUACUCGCAGAAUAAGCACCGGCUAACUCUGUGCCAGCCGCCGCGGUAA
This 503-nucleotide ribosomal RNA is filed under the name uncultured bacterium. Its description in RNAcentral is "partial 16S ribosomal RNA". It matches the Rfam family "Bacterial small subunit ribosomal RNA", at positions 30 to 523 of the family's 1533-position model. The record is from RNAcentral.